GCACAGUACCUUAUGUAGUCCUUACUGC
RNAcentral lists this non-coding RNA (28 nucleotides) under Bombyx mori (domestic silkworm). Lineage: Eukaryota; Metazoa; Arthropoda; Insecta; Lepidoptera; Bombycidae. The record is from RNAcentral.